CCCGCGUGCGCCCGGCGCGGCUGCAUGGACUCUCGGGGGGCCGGCGCUGCCGAGAUCCACUUGUCAGUUCAAGGGCAGGACAGAAACUCUGCAAGCGGAGUCUCGCGAACAGGAAAUUUCUCAUUGACAAGGUCUAUUGUAACGAGAAAAACAAGGUGCAGAAGGAAGUGGUGUGUAUAGUAUGCUACAAUUUGGAUUUUAUUUAUUUAUACAUGAGAGACACACAGAGAGAGAGAGAGGCAGAGACACAG
Long non-coding RNA from Canis lupus familiaris (dog), 251 nucleotides. RefSeq lists it as uncharacterized. The record is from RefSeq and is a predicted model, not a curated record. NCBI's taxonomy places the organism in Eukaryota, Metazoa, Chordata, Mammalia, Carnivora, Canidae. The transcript is spliced from 3 exons.